UUUAAAUUAUUGUUAUCUUUAAAUAUUUUUUCCUGUUUCUUAUUCGGUUUUAUUUUUCAGAAUAUUCUCUUUGUGUUCAGUGUACUUCUUAAAUCUGUUGGCACCACCUUUACUUUGUUUGUAUUACUGGUGCUGUCUUUGUACCUUGUCUGUAUGGCAUUAUAUGUUUGUUUGUCUCUACACUAUGUUCUUGCUGCUGUACCAAAAUUUCCACCGGGUUCAAUAAAGUGCAUCUUAAUCUUAAUCUUAAUCCAGAUCCUCCCAAACUGAAACUUCUCCUGCUAAGGUCAGGUCACCGGCCUCAUUAAGUCAUUAAGCGAGCGCAGUGUGAGUCAGAUAUUAACUGUCCACACCAUUUCUGCCUUUAAGGUUUAGUCUUCUUAUGCUGUAACAAUGUACUCUUAUUAUUACAAAAUGCUUACUUUGUGAAGCAUACACAUAAUUGGUAGUUAGGAAGAAUGGUUUCCACUUUCAAAAAAACAGCAGAACAGAACAAUAAAAGGUGAUGCUUUAUAUUAACUGCACCUUCAUAAUGCAUUCAUUAUACAGGCAUAAAACAUUCAGUCCACCUUCAUAAUGCAUUCAUUAUACAGGCAUAAAACAUUCAGUCCACCUUCAUAAUGCAUUCAUUAUACAGGCAUAAAACAUUCAGUCCACCUUCAUAAUGCAUUCAAAAUGCAUUUAUUCAAGCAUCCAGAGACCAUCCAUGUCUGGGGUUGCUUCUCAUCUAAGGGAGUGGGCUCACUCACAGUUCUGCCCAAAAACAUUGCCAUGAAUAAAGAAUGGUAUGAAAACGUCCAAAAGAAACCAACGAAGGGCAACUUCUUCUUCAGAAAACCAUAGAAACACAUAAAGAAAAUCUAAAAAUGCUGAAGCAGCAAAGCACAAAAUCUGUAACAUAACAGCUGCAGUAUAUAAUAAUAACAAACAUCAUAUGAUAAAAACAAAUAGUAUACUCUAUAUACAGAUGCUCCUCUACUUACGAACUUUCAUACAUACGAACGAAGAGGACCGUACGCAGAGGUGGGUAGUAACGCGUUACAUUUACUCCGUUACAUUUACUUAAGUAACUUUUUGGAAAAAUUGUACUUGUAAGAGUAGUUUUAAUGCAUGAUACUUUUACUCUUACUUGAGUAAGAAAUUUCAAGAAGAAACGGUACUUUUACUCCGUUAUUCUAAGACAUAUGUUGCUCGCUAUUCGCUACUUUCAUUUUAAUAAUCUGUUAUUCGCUACACAGGUGAUUUUUUUUUGUCAUACUAGUCCAAGGGUUCUGUCACAUGAUUCUUUUUCGCCAAUCAAAUGGAGCCAUACAGUCACAUGACCACACAAAAUUUACGCGGCGCUGCACAGAGCAGUGACUGAAAGGAGAAUACAAUGGCGCAAACAACGGCGUGUGAUUUUGAACCAGAAGAAGCAGAACACUCCUGGCCUCACAUUCGAUCAAUGUUUUCAUUACAGACUAUAAAACAGAACAGCUAUGUCAUGCGCUGUCUUACGUGUCUGCCUAAGCGUGUCGACAUUUCAACCUACAAGAACUCGACUUCGAACUUGAGGAAGCACGUUGCGUUGCAGUUUUGUCCAGCCCAUUUGACCCAUUUUCAACAAAUAAGACAAAGAGGAUCCUGGAAAGAGACCCAGAUCAGUAAGUGAAGUGAAAGUUCAUAAAUCUACCAUCAGCUGGCUAUCACCUGGAUUGAUGCCAGCUAAAGAGCCCUCUCCAGUUCCGGCUGACUUUAGGAUACCAAUCCACACUCUUAUUUGGAUCAGCCCUGUGGCAGAUGCACUGAAGCUUACGUUGAAGUUUUCCUGGAUUGAACACAGAUUUGUAGUAAGAUGAACUUUAGAGAAGCAGUUCACAUGGUGCCCUGUAUGUGUAGAAUGUAAAACUUAGACAAGGGAUAAAUUAAUGUGCCGUAAUUCUUUAUGUUAAAAAACACCUAUUCUAGCCAUUAUGUAACUAUAGCUAUAAAAAAGAAUAUGGCUAAAGUAUGAUACUGGAUUAAUAAACCACAGUGGAAU
Brienomyrus brachyistius is the source of this 2020-nucleotide long non-coding RNA. RefSeq lists it as uncharacterized. Lineage: Eukaryota; Metazoa; Chordata; Actinopteri; Osteoglossiformes; Mormyridae. The transcript is spliced from 3 exons. The record is from RefSeq and is a predicted model, not a curated record.